GACAGACAGACAGACAGCCAGGCAGGUAUAUAAAGGUGAGGGGAUGAGGGAAGAAGGGUGUCAUUCCUUUGGUUCUCUACUGCCUCCUCCUAGCCAUGAUGACAACCACAGGCAGAAGCUCCCUCCUCCUGCUCCUCCUCCUGGGCUCCACCGCCACCGCCCUACCCAAGUCAUCCUGCGUCGGCGCCUCCUGCGGGCACGGCGCGGCUGCUAGCGUGGGUGGAGCCGCGGUUGGGUCAGAGGCGAGGUCCUCCUCCUACAGUAGCUACGGUGCAGGAGACGCCCACCAGACAGGGAGGAGUGGAGCGCUCGCCGUGAACCAACUGGGUGGAGGAGGCGGAGGCAGUUAUGGUGGAGGUGGAUCAGCUGUCUUCGUCCAUGCUGGUGGAGCAGGUGGAGGAGUGGGCAGUGGAUAUGAUGGUGUUGGUGUUGGUGGAUUUGCCCAUGGUGGAGGAGUGGAUAGUGGAUAUGGUGGAGCGGGUGUUGGUGUUGGUGCUGGAGUAGGUGGAUUUGGUCAUGGUGGAGUAGUGGAUGGUGGAUACGGUGGAGUUGGUGGUGGAGUAGGUGGAUUUUGGCCAUGGUGGAAUAGUGGAUGGUGGAGUAGGUGGAUUUGGCCAUGGUGGAGUGGAUGGUGCAUAUGGUGGAGUUGGUGUCGGAGUGGAUGGUGGAUAUGGUGGAGUCGGAAGUGGAGUUAGUGGAUUUGGUCAUGGUGGAGUUGGAAGUGGAGUUGGUGGAUUUGGUCAUGGUGGAGUAGAUGGUGGAUACGGUGGUGGAGUGGGCGGUGGAUUUUGUGGGUGGACGUGGCGUGUUUGGAGACGGUAGGUAUGAUGGUGGACUAGGUGGAUUUGGUGGAUUUGGCAAUGACGUGUAUGGUGGAAGUGGCGCGAUUGGUGGUGGAUUCCUCGACGAUGGAUACAGCACCGGUGGAGUAGGAGGUGGAUUCGGCGGCCACGGCACUGCAGGCGGCUACGGUGGAGUAAGCGGAGGCAGCGCAAGUGGAAUUUUGGUCAGCGACGGGAACCUCUUCAACGGCGGUGGAUACGGGGACGGUGGAAUUAUCCUGGAUGGUGGAUCAGUGCACGGUGGAGGAAGUGGAUACGGCGACGGUGGGAAUACUUCACGGUGGAGCUGGUGGAGUAGGCCUGGGAGGUGGAUCACAUGGGUAUUCUGACGGUGGAUCACACGCUGGUGGAAGCUCCUCCCAAGGCUACCCAUCAACUCCAUCCACUGGCUACCUUCCACCUGCCUUUUAAAUCAUCUAAAAGUGGAUGACUGUAUUUCUAAAGGACGGAAUUCUUCAUUGUAUAGGAAAAUUUGAUGAAAAAUGACAAUAAAAAUAACUUAAUGCAUAGAAUGAAAA
Long non-coding RNA from Scylla paramamosain (green mud crab), 1360 nucleotides. RefSeq lists it as uncharacterized. The transcript is spliced from 2 exons. The record is from RefSeq and is a predicted model, not a curated record. NCBI's taxonomy places the organism in Eukaryota, Metazoa, Arthropoda, Malacostraca, Decapoda, Portunidae.